UGUAGCGUAGCGGAAAUCACGAAAUUCACUAAAAUUAGACCUUUUGAGCUAAAUCGUAUAUGAGGCUUUGUAAACCGGAUGAGCAAGCACAUCAUUGUGACGUCCAAACACCAAGGAGGUGAGUGUUUAUAAAGUAGAUGCGGCAGGCAUUGGAGGUUAUUUGU
Non-coding RNA from Saccharicrinis fermentans, 164 nucleotides. Lineage: Bacteria; Pseudomonadati; Bacteroidota; Bacteroidia; Marinilabiliales; Marinilabiliaceae. The record is from Rfam.